CUUCCACCCCUCCGGCCGGCUCCUCUCCCGCUUGCGCCUCCUCCUCCCCCCACUAGCGCCUCCCUCUCCUCCUUCCCCGCCUUCGCCCGGCCUCCUCCUUCCGCCCCACCGAUCUGGCGCCGCCCCGCCUCACCGUCCUCCGCCGCCUGCCUCCUGCCUUGCCUCGCCUCGCUCCGCCGCCGGCCUCCUGCGCCACCCUGCCUCGCCACGCUCCGCCGGCCGCCUCCUGCGCCGCCCCAUCUCACCGUGCUCCGCCGGCCGCCUCCUGCCUCCCACCGUGGAGAACGGCGACAGGCGGCUGCCAACGGACGGAUACAGGCAGAGGAGGGUCAGAGAGGCGCGCGGAAGGCCGACGAGGUUGGGCAGCGCCGGAUCCAGAGUUCGGGGUGGUGCCAUGGUUGCUCGGUGAGCUCCUGCAGGGGAAGAUGGCGGGGCGAGAUUUAAAGGGAGAUGGCAGAGAGAAGCGAAAGGGAGUGGCGGCGGGGAUUCUGUUGCUCACCGCGAAUAUCGAGCGCUUGGGCACCAUGCGAGGCUGCGGCUGCGGGCGGUUGGAGACGCAGCCUUAGGCAAGUUGUUGUUGCUUUCGAGUGCUGAGCGUCGCUCUGUCGAGUCCGGCGGACGAAGGAUUAGGGGAGGGACGGGCUGUGGAGACUUCGAGGCGGCUGGUGGAGGCGUUGGCCUUGUCGGAAGGCCGGAGGAGGCGACCGGUGGUGGCUCGCCAUGGCUGCACUUCACGGGAGCGGAGGUAGGCAUUCGAUGGCCAGUCCGUGUGGAUGCAGAUGAGACCCAGCCGUGAUGAACAAAUAGUAGUAGACUGUGCUGGUCUUUUCCUCCUAUCUGAAUUUUCUGCAGAUGAGAUCCAGCCGUGAUAAACAAACAGCAGUAGGCCGUGCUGCUCUUUUAUCUAUUCUGAAUUUUGUGCAACUCAGAUCCACCAAGGAAGAGAUGGAUGAGGCCGUGCUGCUCCUCUCAUCUAUCUCAAUUGCUAUAUGGAAAGCUCUAAAUUUCCAAUCAGCCAUGAAGGACCGAUCAGAAGCGAGGCCCUUGCUGCUCGUGUCUCCUUGCUGGUGGCAACCCGACCUUCAGCUUGCCAGCGACAGGCAGGAAUCCGGUCAGUGGCCGCCAAAUAAGUACAGGUUACGGAAGAGACCUAAGUCCGACCACCGCCCAACUCCCAGCUACUCGCUGCAAUUCCCACAUCCACCUCAAAUGGGAUAAGCGCUCCAGGUGAGGCGUCCCCGGCUAGGAGCAGAUCUGGAUCCCAUGGGUCCACCUCUCCCCGUUCGUUGGAUCUUUGCCCCCCAGCCGUGGCCACUCCUCAGGUUUGCUGGCUGAUGUCACGCCCGUUCCAAGGCAGGUUUUUCCCAGGGGAACCUCCUGGGGUGUGUCCUAUGAGGUAGAAGAUUCUUGCUCGGUUCCUUGUGUUUGGGAUGAUCCAGAUGAGAUAGUGCAUCAGUUGCUCACACGAAGAAACCACCACAAUGAGAAUCCUCUUCUAAUCUGGCAAAGAGGGGAAGAUAGAUACCUGGCUGCCUGGAAAAGUAUUUUUCAAAUUAACCAGAAUGAGUUUGACUUGGUGUACAAAUGUGGAACUUCAAGAAAAGUAAUGCAAUGGGGGUCUGGCUGUGUUUUUCGAAAGUGUUGUCGAUAACGAGAGGCUUUUACGACAAUGGAGGCAGCGACAAGCACUGAUAGAUAUACUGUUAGAACAAGAUACAUGAUUUUGAGUGGCUAAUUUGGCAGUAAUGCAAUGGGGGUCUGGCUGUGUCUUUCGAGUGCGGUGUCGGUAAUGAGAGGCUUCAAUGACAACGGAGGCAGUGACAAGCACAUAUAUGCUCUAGCUUUGAGGCACUGAAUUGUGUAUAUUCUGAACUUGCAUUAGAGCUUCACAUGUGUAUGUUUUGAACCUACAUUAGAGCUUCACAUAUCAUUAUAUCGUGAGUCACCAAAAAAAUUGCAUUGCAAACUUUACGCUUUUCUUUUGACCGUAUGACAUCUUAAUCCUUUUAGGUUGGCAUCAAACUUUAUGAGUGGCUUUUUGUUAUUAUGUUGAGCCAUGCUUUAAUUUAUAUUAAUUGGCCAAUUUUUGAUGUCAUAUUUUCUUUAGAUGCAUCACUUGCAGUCAUCCUUUGAUUUCUAUUAAUUGAUCAAUAUUUAUUCUGGAGUCUACCAUGGAUUUACAUGCAACUCAGAGAUUUAAAGAUGUCUUCUUUGGCUGGCAUGAUUGUUUACCUUUUCCUCACUAGAAGCAAUUAACCUACAUGAUCUGUGCAGAAUAUGUCUCACCACUUUAGUAGGCAGGUUUAACAGGAAAUAAUAGUAGCACUAUUUCAACAAGUGGUUCCUUUGUAUGAUGCGGGGCGAGGGCGAUGAGGGCAGCGUCGGGUUUGACGCCGGACGGGGCGGCCGGGGAUGAGGGUGGCAGUGUGUUUGACGCCGGGCUUAAGUACCUCGAGGCCGUCAAUGGCAAUGUGCUUGUGUAUCCCAGGUUCAUCACCGAUCCUUUCACGAUUUUGCUAGACACGUUCUCUGGCGGGUAACUGCACACAACCACAGGAGGAGGUCGUGUUGUGGAAGAAUACGGCCUGGGCAAAGCCAUACUCUUGCAUCUCUUUCAACUGGACAAACAUGAUGGAUAUGGUGGUGGACCUGGGCAGUUUUGCUCUAACCUCAAACUCUUCUUAAUUCCCCACAUUUAGCUUCGGUAAUACUAGCUUUAGAGAACGGCGUCGCCGGGGAGGACGGGAGCGGCUCGACCAAUGGCCACCGCAAUGCUCUUCUGCCCGCUGCUUGCCUCGCCACCCGGGCGCAAAAUAGAGCUGACAAGACGUCUGUAUGUACUGCAGUUCAAUGAGGAAGUGCGUCACUUUUUGUAAAGAAAUACAAGACUAUCUUUCACCCAGGAGAGGUUAACUGAAUUAGGGAGAUGGCACUGUGCCCAUGGACAAAGUCAGUUGCUCCGAUAUGGAUGAGCAGCAGGUGCUGCUACCGCUGCAGGUGGACAAGGCACGAGGUCUCAUGGCUCCUCCCACUCUUCCCAACAACACUGUUGUGAUGUACUGAAGCCUCCCGUUCCACAUGUUCAGUACUUGCACCUCAACGUCACUUCUGUGAGUGGUGGCCUAGGUUAGGUCGAUCCCUAAUCUCUGUUCCAAUUUAUUCCGGUGUCAUUAUUCUCAGCAUCCUUUAAUUUGCGAUUUAUGCUGCCUUUGUAUUUUUUGGGGCUAGAGAUUGUAGGUUGAUUUAGAUUGCUAACUCGAUUCAGACUACCAAUACUACUGUAGAUAUCGAUGUUUCCAGAGCAUCAUUAUCAAUUGGCUGUUAUCUCAUUGUGUUUAUGAGCAGAUACAACAUCUCUUGUGAGACUUAGUCUUACACUUGCUGAUAUAAACUACUUGGCAAUAUUUAUAGAAUGUAUGUCUUUCUGUUUGUACUACUUGAUACAAAUCAGUUGUCCUAGGCAAACAUUGUGGCUUGCUUUUGGUACAUAUUUUGUCUCUGUGAUCUUUAGUUUUAUGGUUAUCCUGGGCAACAACUACACUUUGCUUGUGGUAUAUAUUUAAUCUAUAUGCCCUAUAUUUAGUUAUCCUGGGCAACAGCUAUACCUUGCUCUUGAUGUAUCUUUGUAGUGUUUGUGAUAUAUACCAAACACAUUAUUCCGGGCGGUUAUUUUAAUUUCUUUUGGAUGUUCUAAACGCUUUGUGAUAUUAAAGUUUUAGUCGCUGUGAGGCAACACCUGCAAGGCGCGCUUCCGAUCUUAGCAUUAGACCAAAACGUUUGGACCGGUACCCUUAAGCCUGCUUCCGAUCUUCGCAUUAACUACUUUGACCAAAACGUUGGGACAUGCACCUUUGCGCCAAGGCGUGAUCCCGAUCUAGUAUGGCAUGUCACGACAAUCGUGUGUGUGGAGCAGAUCGGUCUUGGCGUGGGAUUCCCGACGGUAGGCGGAGUAGAUCAGUCGUGGUGCAGAUGAGGCGACGACGAGCAGCCUGUCGUCCUUGUCGUCAGCCUGCAGAGCUGACCGCGCGGGGUUCACCGACAGCGUGCGGGAGCAUAUCAGCCUCCUUGGUGGAGAUGAGGUGACAACGAGCAGUCCCGGAUCCUUGUCGUCUUCCUAUUAAUCGGGAAAGGAGGCCUCACCAUGGUGGGGCAUAGGAGGGGGCAGAGUUCUCCACCUCGUGCAAUUCUCCUCCUCCUCGUGCAGGGCUAGGCCGGGAGGAGAGGGGUGGAUAGGGGAAGUGGACGAAGGGGAAAGCAGUGUUUUGGUGCCCGAGCGCAGCUGCUCCCGAAAUCCCUCGCAUUGGGAUUCACAAAAUUUGGUCUGACACGCCUGCGCUGAUGCAUGGGAAAAACAAUAUGGGGUGUGUUUGGUUACCUGCAUAAGGCCCAACCAGGCUCGCGCGGGAAGGGAACGGGCUAUUUGGACGCCUGGUUUUACUAUUGGGCCUGCAUAGCAUGAAACUUAAAGCACCUCUGGGCCUGGCUCACUGGAAACGCAUGAAUCGACAGUUUCUCCAGGGCCAGGCCCGAGCGGUGCACGUGGGCGGCGGCGGCUGCAUGCACGCGGCCACACUCGAGAAGCCGCGUUGCUUCCCGAAGCGCCGACAGUUAUUAGCCUCACCGCCCCUCACCGCUCCCUCUCCCCACUCUUCUCCACUCUCCCAACUCUCACCGGCGGCGGCGGAUCGAAGCAGAGGAAGAAGACCACUGGACUCCAUCAGCGGCGAGCGGAUCAGCAGUUGGCCCGCAGCAAUGGCGAUCGAGGAGAGCAAUGAGAUGGGCAUGGAGGUUGACAACAAGGGCAAGCAGCCCCUUCACCCAAUGCCCGACGAGGUUGUGCUGCCGCCCACCACCGAGGAAGACCUGAAGAUGCCUGAGGGUGGCGACGACGAGGGCAUGGAGGAGCCCCCCAGCAACAAGCGUCGCAACUACGACCACUACCAUCAGGAGGAUGGCCCGACUCACUUCUGCAAGGUCAUCCUUGCACCGAAGCUUGAGUGCAUCCCCAUGCCCCUGGACUUCAUCAAGCACUUCGUCGCGGUGCCGACGGAAUUCAAGCUCAGGAACAACACCAGCUGCUGCUGAAAGGUGACAGUGAAGCUGAUGAACGGCAGGGUGAUCCUGGAUCAGGGUUGAGCCACCUACGCAGCCGUUCAUCAGAUAAAGAUUGGCUACAUGGUGAUGUUCAAACUCCUCACUCCCGACACCCUCAAGGUCAUCAUCUUCGACGACGAUGGCAUUGAGGUCGUCAACAAGUGUGGGAAGCACGAUGAAGCCUUCGCCGCCAAGGAGUAGGGCCGGGGCCUCCCUAAGUACUACCGAGUCUGCUUUGUACUGUUUAUGUUUAUGGUUUAUGCGUAGAACUGAUAUGAAGUGUGGUACUGCUUAUCUGAAAUAUGCUCUUAAGUAGUUGAUCCUCUAUUUAUACUCUA
Triticum aestivum (bread wheat) is the source of this 5432-nucleotide long non-coding RNA. RefSeq lists it as uncharacterized. NCBI's taxonomy places the organism in Eukaryota, Viridiplantae, Streptophyta, Magnoliopsida, Poales, Poaceae. The transcript has 10 exons. The record is from RefSeq and is a predicted model, not a curated record.